AUUAAAGUUGCUGCGGUUAAAAAGCUCGUAGUUGGAUUACGAAGUGGUGUUUAAAUGUUAAUUUUGGUUGGUCUGUCCUUCGGGGCAUUCUGGCUGACUUUGGCACUUACUCACUGAUGUCAUUGUCUUUGCCCAAGGUAAUUGCCUUGUGUGCAUGGCAUUGACCUUCUAUUUUAUGGUAAUGAGGUCAUCUUUCGGGGUGACUCUUCAUUCCAUAUAGUUUACUUUGAAAAAAUUAGGGUGUUUAAAGCAGGCGAAAAGGCUUCGGAAUAUAUCAGCAUGGGAUAAUAGAAUACGAUUUAGGUCGUAAUUUGUUGGUUUCUACGGCCUAGGUAAUGAUUGACAGGGAUAGUUGGGGUCGCUCGUAUUGAGUUGUCAGAGGUGAAAUUCUAGGAUUAACUCAAGACGAACUAAUGCGAAAGCAUUCGGCAAGGAUGUUUUCAUUAAUCAAGAACGAAAGUUGGGGGAUCGAAGAUGAUCAGAUACCGUCGUAGUCUCAACUGUAAACUAUGUCGACCGAGGAUCCGGUAGCGUUACAUGGAUGACCUUCCGGGCACUCUGUGAGAAAUCAUAAGUAUUUGGAUUUCGGGGGGAGUAUGGUCGCAAGGCUGAAACUUAAAGGGAUUGACGGAAGGGCACCACCAGGAGUGGAAUCUGCGGCUUAAUUUGACCCAACACGGGAAAACUUACCAGGUCCGGACACAGUGAGGAUUGACAGAUUGAGAGCUCUUUCUUGAUUUUGUGGGUGGUGGUGCAUGGCCGUUUUUAGUUGGUGGAGUGAUUUGUCUGGUUAAUUCCGUUAACGAACGAGACCUUAACCUAUUAAAUAGCUGCGCGAACCCAGGUUCUUUAACCAUUCUCUCCUUCGGGGGGGCGUGGUAUCAUCUCUUUGCUUUUCACCUUCGGGUGGGAGGUAGGGGGAUGAUAGGGCCUGAGAUGAGUUGGUGAUUUGGCUUCUUAGAGGGACUACUUGCAUCCUUAGCAAGGGGAGGUUUGAGGCAAAAACAGGUCUGUGAUGCCCUUCGAUGUUCUGGGCUGCACGCGCGUUACACUGGCGCAUGCAAAGAGUUUAAAAUUCCUGUCCUGAUGAGGUUGGGAAAUCUUUUUAAAGUGCGUCGUGAUGGGGAUAGAGCAUUGAAAUUAUUGCUCUUGGACGAGGAAUUCCUAGUAAUUGCAGGUCAUCAACCUGCAAUGAUUACGUCCCUGCCCUUUGUACACACCGCCCGUCGCUCCUACCGAUGGUUGAACCGAUGAGGACUCGGGAUGAUCUUAUUAGAUCGGUCGGUCGAAAGAUCGAUAGACUAUUAGGUCAGAACUUGUUCAAAUCUUUUUAACUAGAGGAAGGAGAAGUCGUAACAAGGUUUCCGUAGGUGAACCUGCGGAAGG
RNAcentral lists this ribosomal RNA (1386 nucleotides) under metagenome. RNAcentral's name for it is "bacterial SSU rRNA". It matches the Rfam family "Eukaryotic small subunit ribosomal RNA", at positions 603 to 1824 of the family's 1831-position model. The record is from RNAcentral.